Long non-coding RNA from Oryza sativa Japonica Group (Japanese rice), 830 nucleotides. RefSeq lists it as uncharacterized. NCBI's taxonomy places the organism in Eukaryota, Viridiplantae, Streptophyta, Magnoliopsida, Poales, Poaceae. The record is from RefSeq and is a predicted model, not a curated record.
GCCCCCUUCCACCGCGCGCGCCUUUGUCGCCAUCCACCGCCCGCGCCGCCGCCUCCUCCGCCAAAUCCACCGCGUGCGCCCCCCGCCACCGCGCACCACCUCCUCCGCCAAAUCCAGCGCCCCCCGCCUGCUCGCUCCUCUCCCACCACGCGCCGCCUCCACCACGCAGCCCCCUCCGCCUCACCCACACCGCCGCACGCCGCCGUCGACUCCAUCGGCCAGCCGCCGCUACUCCCUAACUCCGACUCCACUCAAACCCUCCCCUCCUCCCCACCUCUGACUCGACCUGCACGCUGGCUUCCGCUAUCGGCUCCUCCGCCCAACGCCUUCCCAUUGCCGCAGUUGACUCCACCCUCUUCCCCACCUCCUCCGCCGCCUCCCCAUCGCCUCCACCUCUGGUGCCUGCCUCCACCUCAUCUUCCGACAUCAAGGAAGUCCCCUUGUUCAGUUUAGUUUGCCACUAUCGAUUUUGCUACAAUCGAUCUAUGUUGUUGAGCAUCUACCAAGCAGGAGAUCUAAAAAAACAUCGUACCACGGUCAAAAUCGAAAGGGCUACUGAAAUUGUUCUGCUAAAGAUGUCACUUGUCCCAGAAAUUGUCCAUUGAAGAUUUUUUUUGCUGAAGUUAUUUAUGAAUGGAGACCUGCUAAAGAUGUCACGUGUCCAAUAAAGACCUGCUUAAGAUGUCACUUGUCCAAUGAAGUUCUCUCUGUAUUUAUAUUAUCUAGAAGAGAUGCCACUUCAAUGUAGAGUAAUUCCAUAAACUUUGUUGAGAAGUUAUGACUUAAAUUUAAUGAAUGCUAAGGGUGUGUUUGCAACCCCUUUUUCCCAA